This 614-nucleotide ribosomal RNA is filed under the name uncultured Mortierella. Its description in RNAcentral is "eukaryotic LSU rRNA". The stretch from base 186 to 339 matches the Rfam family "5.8S ribosomal RNA". Lineage: Eukaryota; Fungi; Mortierellomycota; Mortierellomycetes; Mortierellales; Mortierellaceae. The record is from RNAcentral.
UCAUAAUUGAGUGUUUUAUGGCACUCUUUAAUAAAUCCAUAUCCACCUUGUGUGCAAUGUUUUUGAACUCUCUGGCGUUGAUAUCUCUCUCUUGAGGGAUAGAGAAGCCAAGAGUUUGAUUAACUUAACUCCUUUAAUGCAAUUUGUCUGAAUAUCUAUUUCUGAAUAAACAUAAUUCAAAAUACAACUUUCAACAACGGAUCUCUUGGCUCUCGCAUCGAUGAAGAACGCAGCGAAAUGCGAUACGUAAUGUGAAUUGCAGAAUUCAGUGAAUCAUCGAAUCUUUGAACGCACAUUGCGCUCUCUGGUAUUCCGGAGAGCAUGCUUGUUUGAGUAUCAGUAAACACCUCAAUUUCACAAUCUUUUUUUUGAAAUUGGACUUGAGCAAAUCCCAACGUAUAUUUUAUUAUAUGGAGGGUUGCUUCAAAUGCAGGUGCAGCCGAUCAUUCUUCUGGGCUAAAAGCAUUAUCUAGUUAAUCCCGUAAAACGGAUUAUUCACUUUAUUUGCUGCGGCUUACCUUAUAAAAGGAAGAAAUGGUCAUUGUGCUGACUGAUGCAGGAUUUCUCAGAGCUCUGUAAAACGAUCUUUGAAAACUCGAUCUCAAAUCAAGUAA